This 543-nucleotide ribosomal RNA is filed under the name Triticum aestivum (bread wheat). RNAcentral describes it as "partial small subunit ribosomal RNA". Lineage: Eukaryota; Viridiplantae; Streptophyta; Magnoliopsida; Poales; Poaceae. The record is from RNAcentral.
AUGGUUUUCCCAGGAAGGGGAAGGAUCCGUGUCGAUGCUGACAGUGUUCAGAGGAUCACUACAUUGCUCAAGAUGAUUGAGCAUAUGGCUGGAAGAACGGAUGACACAUUCUUUAUGGCCUGGCUUGCGGUUGCCUUCAGCACUUUUCUAGCACCAACCACGGCCUUGAAGCUCAGCCCAAAGUGUUAUGGACUUGUGCUAGAUCAUCAAAUGCUAAAGAAUACAAACAUCUGCCUCUUUGUAGCAGAACACAUUAACGAAGCUUUCCGGAACAUGGACCAGGAGAAGCAAACUGCCUGCUGCUGCUUGUAUCACUUGAUGAUACUAUACCUUGAUGCGCUCGUACAUGACAUCACAGUAAGCAACUGCGCGAUACGAUCGAAUGCAUGGGAUAGUACUCUAAUUGCCAAGGUGAUCAAGAAGGAUACUAUCUCUCCUGGUGUGUUCGGCAAAUUACAAAGGGGUAUAGAGGCACGGAGCAGACACCACUGUUUGGUGGAAUUUUGCAAGGUGAAACAUUUGUGGCAUCCAAGUUACCAAUAA